This 2907-nucleotide ribosomal RNA is filed under the name Salmonella enterica subsp. diarizonae. RNAcentral's name for it is "bacterial LSU rRNA". It matches the Rfam family "Bacterial large subunit ribosomal RNA". The record is from RNAcentral. Lineage: Bacteria; Pseudomonadati; Pseudomonadota; Gammaproteobacteria; Enterobacterales; Enterobacteriaceae.
UUAAGCGACCAAGCGUACACGGUGGAUGCCCUGGCAGUCAGAGGCGAUGAAGGACGUGCUAAUCUGCGAAAAGCGCCGGUAAGGUGAUAUGAACCGUUAUAACCGGCGAUGUCCGAAUGGGGAAACCCAGUGUGACUUGUCACACUAUCAUUAACUGAAUCCAUAGGUUAAUGAGGCGAACCGGGGGAACUGAAACAUCUAAGUACCCCGAGGAAAAGAAAUCAACCGAGAUUCCCCCAGUAGCGGCGAGCGAACGGGGAGGAGCCCAGAGCCUGAAUCAGCAUGUGUGUUAGUGGAAGCGUCUGGAAAGGCGCGCGAUACAGGGUGAGAGCCCCGUACACAAAAGCGCAUAUGCUGUGAGCUCGAUGAGUAGGGCGGGACACGUGGUAUCCUGUCUGAAUAUGGGGGGACCAUCCUCCAAGGCUAAAUACUCCUGACUGACCGAUAGUGAACCAGUACCGUGAGGGAAAGGCGAAAAGAACCCCGGCGAGGGGAGUGAAACAGAACCUGAAACCGUGUACGUACAAGCAGUGGGAGCCUCUCUUUAUGGGGGGUGACUGCGUACCUUUUGUAUAAUGGGUCAGCGACUUAUAUUCUGUAGCAAGGUUAACCGCAUAGGGGAGCCGAAGGGAAACCGAGUCUUAAUUGGGCGUUAAGUUGCAGGGUAUAGACCCGAAACCCGGUGAUCUAGCCAUGGGCAGGUUGAAGGUUGGGUAACACUAACUGGAGGACCGAACCGACUAAUGUUGAAAAAUUAGCGGAUGACCUGUGGCUGGGGGUGAAAGGCCAAUCAAACCGGGAGAUAGCUGGUUCUCCCCGAAAGCUAUUUAGGUAGCGCCUCGUGAAUUCAUCUCCGGGGGUAGAGCACUGUUUCGGCUAGGGGGCCAUCCCGGCUUACCAACCCGAUGCAAACUGCGAAUACCGGAGAAUGUUAUCACGGGAGACACACGGCGGGUGCUAACGUCCGUCGUGAAGAGGGAAACAACCCAGACCGCCAGCUAAGGUCCCAAAGUCAUGGUUAAGUGGGAAACGAUGUGGGAAGGCCCAGACAGCCAGGAUGUUGGCUUAGAAGCAGCCAUCAUUUAAAGAAAGCGUAAUAGCUCACUGGUCGAGUCGGCCUGCGCGGAAGAUGUAACGGGGCUAAACCAUGCACCGAAGCUGCGGCAGCGACACUUUAGUGUUGUUGGGUAGGGGAGCGUUCUGUAAGCCGUUGAAGGUGUCCUGUGAGGGGUGCUGGAGGUAUCAGAAGUGCGAAUGCUGACAUAAGUAACGAUAAAGCGGGUGAAAAGCCCGCUCGCCGGAAGACCAAGGGUUCCUGUCCAACGUUAAUCGGGGCAGGGUGAGUCGACCCCUAAGGCGAGGCCGAAAGGCGUAGUCGAUGGGAAACGGGUUAAUAUUCCCGUACUUGGUGUUACUGCGAAGGGGGGACGGAGAAGGCUAUGUUGGCCGGGCGACGGUUGUCCCGGUUUAAGCGUGUAGGUGUGUGUUCCAGGUAAAUCCGGUUCACUUUAACACUGAGGCGUGAUGACGAGGCACCACGGUGCUGAAGCAACAAAUGCCCUGCUUCCAGGAAAAGCCUCUAAGCAUCAGGUAACAUCAAAUCGUACCCCAAACCGACACAGGUGGUCAGGUAGAGAAUACCAAGGCGCUUGAGAGAACUCGGGUGAAGGAACUAGGCAAAAUGGUGCCGUAACUUCGGGAGAAGGCACGCUGACACGUAGGUGAAGUGAUUUACUCACGGAGCUGAAGUCAGUCGAAGAUACCAGCUGGCUGCAACUGUUUAUUAAAAACACAGCACUGUGCAAACACGAAAGUGGACGUAUACGGUGUGACGCCUGCCCGGUGCCGGAAGGUUAAUUGAUGGGGUCAGCGCAAGCGAAGCUCCUGAUCGAAGCCCCGGUAAACGGCGGCCGUAACUAUAACGGUCCUAAGGUAGCGAAAUUCCUUGUCGGGUAAGUUCCGACCUGCACGAAUGGCGUAAUGAUGGCCAGGCUGUCUCCACCCGAGACUCAGUGAAAUUGAACUCGCUGUGAAGAUGCAGUGUACCCGCGGCAAGACGGAAAGACCCCGUGAACCUUUACUAUAGCUUGACACUGAACAUUGAGCCUUGAUGUGUAGGAUAGGUGGGAGGCUUUGAAGCGUGGACGCCAGUCUGCGUGGAGCCGACCUUGAAAUACCACCCUUUAAUGUUUGAUGUUCUAACGUGGACCCGUAAUCCGGGUUGCGGACAGUGUCUGGUGGGUAGUUUGACUGGGGCGGUCUCCUCCUAAAGAGUAACGGAGGAGCACGAAGGUUGGCUAAUCCUGGUCGGACAUCAGGAGGUUAGUGCAAUGGCAUAAGCCAGCUUGACUGCGAGCGUGACGGCGCGAGCAGGUGCGAAAGCAGGUCAUAGUGAUCCGGUGGUUCUGAAUGGAAGGGCCAUCGCUCAACGGAUAAAAGGUACUCCGGGGAUAACAGGCUGAUACCGCCCAAGAGUUCAUAUCGACGGCGGUGUUUGGCACCUCGAUGUCGGCUCAUCACAUCCUGGGGCUGAAGUAGGUCCCAAGGGUAUGGCUGUUCGCCAUUUAAAGUGGUACGCGAGCUGGGUUUAGAACGUCGUGAGACAGUUCGGUCCCUAUCUGCCGUGGGCGCUGGAAGACUGAGGGGGGCUGCUCCUAGUACGAGAGGACCGGAGUGGACGCAUCACUGGUGUUCGGGUUGUCAUGCCAAUGGCACUGCCCGGUAGCUAAAUGCGGAAAAGAUAAGUGCUGAAAGCAUCUAAGCACGAAACUUGCCCCGAGAUGAGUCUUCCCUGAGACUUUGAGUCUCCUGAAGGAACGUUAAAGACGAUGACGUUGAUAGGCCGGGUGUGUAAGCGCAGCGAUGCGUUGAGCUAACCGGUACUAAUGAACCGUGAGGCUUAACCUU